This 847-nucleotide long non-coding RNA is filed under the name Lotus japonicus. Its description in RNAcentral is "long non-coding RNA (LJAP_LNC000796)". Lineage: Eukaryota; Viridiplantae; Streptophyta; Magnoliopsida; Fabales; Fabaceae. The record is from RNAcentral.
UUCAGGGUGGUUAGAUGCAUUUUUCUCUAUUACAAAACAAAAUGGAUUUGCUGAAGAUGGACAAGUGAAAUGUCUUUCUGUUAACAAUCUUCCUCUCAUACUAAUUGCUACUAACAAUCUUCCUCUCAUCACUCUAUUACAAAUGAUUCCUUCAUAUUUUUCUCUAUAUGUUGACAAUCUUCCUCUUAUACUAAUUGCUGAAGAUUUUUAUGACAGGAUUGGAGCUCUACUUGGUAAAGGAUGCCAAGUAUGGAUUAGAGCCGUAUGGAAGACCGACCUUAGUACCAAGAUCUGUACAUGUGGAAGCUACCUGUAAUUAGAAUGAAAAAGGAAACAACUUUGAAUUAAUUAUCAUAGAAAACAAAAUCACGAUGGUUUACAUUAAAGGUGUGAAUUUAUUGACAACCUUUUGUAUGUCAAAUAUCGAAUAUAUAUCCAAAUUAUGCCAUCUUUUUUUUUAUUCUGGUAAGUUACUUGCAUCUUGUGCUGCUUACCACAUAAGAAGCAAAUGGCAACAUUUUCCCUGGUGGUAGGUUGUGGCAUAGAUCGCUGCAAAUAAAAGAAAGGCUAUGUAAAUUUUAUAAUUAAUUCUGCAACAUGAGGCUAUUCUGAUCAGACACAGUUUUGACACCGACAUGUUUCAAUGGAAAAAUCAUAAAAUUAAAGCUCUCAUGCAUAGAUAUAAUAUGAAGAGGCUGAACAUACCGUAUAAAACAGCUCCAAUAAUGCAUCCUUGGCAGUAUCAAUAAGCUGGGAUGGCAGAAUUUUGUGUUGUCCCAGAAUACAACCUCCCGUACACGGACCCUAUCCCUUCUGCUCUGAAUUUGGUAACAGACUUGGAGGACUA